Molecule: ribosomal RNA, 954 nt
Filed under: uncultured bacterium
Lineage: Bacteria
Description: bacterial SSU rRNA
Rfam family: Bacterial small subunit ribosomal RNA
Source: RNAcentral
GCCCUUGCGGAUCGCGGCCGCUGCAGAGUUUGAUCCUGGCUCAGAAUCAACGCUGGCGGCGCGCCUAACACAUGCAAGUCGAACGAGAAAGGGGAGCAAUCCCUGAGUAAAGUGGCGUACGGGUGAGUAACACGUGGGUAAUCUGCCCUCUGGUGGGGAAUAACCCUGGGAAACCGGGGCUAAUACCGCAUAAGUCCGGAAGGAGAAAGCAGCAAUGCGCCGGAGGAGGAGCCCGCGGCCGAUUAGCUUGUUGGCGGGGUAACGGCCCACCAAGGCGAUGAUCGGUAGCCGGCCUGAGAGGGCACACGGCCACACUGGCACUGAAACACGGGCCAGACUCCUACGGGAGGCAGCAGUGGGGAAUCUUGCACAAUGGGGGAAACCCUGAUGCAGCGACGCCGCGUGAGCGAUGAAGCCCUUCGGGGUGUAAAGCUCUUUCGGCGGGAACGAUCAUGACGGUACCCGCAGAAGAAGCUGCGGCUAACUACGUGCCAGCAGCCGCGGUAAUACGUAGGCAGCAAGCGUUGUUCGGAGUUACUGGGCGUAAAGAGUGUGUAGGCGGCUCUCUAAGUUCGGUGUGAAAUCUCCCGGCUCAACCGGGAGGGUGCGCCGGAAACUGGGGGGCUUGAGUGUGGGAGAGGAAAGCGGAAUUCCUGGUGUAGCGGUGAAAUGCGUAGAUAUCAGGAGGAACACCGGUGGUGUAGACGGCUUUCUGGACCAUUACUGACGCUGAGACACGAAAGCGUGGGGAGCAAACAGGAUUAGAUACCCUGGUAGUCCACGCCCUAAACGAUGCGCACUUGGUGUGAGCCAUUCAGUUGGUUCGUGCCGGAGCUAACGCGUUAAGUGCGCCGCCUGGGGAGUACGGUCGCAAGGCUGAACUCAAGGAAUUGANGGGGCCCGCACAAGCGGUGGAGCAUGUGGUUCAUUCGACGCACGCGAGAACCUUACCUG